This 233-nucleotide ribosomal RNA is filed under the name uncultured bacterium. RNAcentral describes it as "partial 16S ribosomal RNA". The record is from RNAcentral.
UAAUCCGACCUAGGCUCAUCUGAUAGCGCAAGGCCCGAAGGUCCCCUGCUUUCUCCCGUAGGACGUAUGCGGUAUUAGCGUUCCUUUCGAGGCGUUGUCCCCCACUACCAGGCAGAUUCCUAGGCAUUACUCACCCGUCCGCCGCUGAAUUCAGGAGCAAGCUCCUGUCAUCCGCUCGACUUGCAUGUGUUAGGCCUGCCGCCAGCGUUCAAUCUGAGCCAGGAUCAAACUCU